This 110-nucleotide small nuclear RNA is filed under the name Octopus bimaculoides (California two-spot octopus). The record is from RNAcentral. Lineage: Eukaryota; Metazoa; Mollusca; Cephalopoda; Octopoda; Octopodidae.
CUCAGAACCAUGUGGGUGGGAGGCACACUAAAACUGGAGCAAUACAGAAAAGAUUAGCAUGGCCCUUGUGCAAGGAUGACAUGCAAAUUUAUGAAGUGUUCUAUAUUUCU